GAGUUUGAUCGUGGCUCAGAUUGAACGCUGGCGGAAUGCUCUACACAUGCAAGUCGAGCGGCAGCGCGGGGCAACCUGGCGGCGAGCGGCGAACGGGUGAGUAAUGCAUCGGAACAUGUCCAUGUCGUGGGGGAUAGCCCGGCGAAAGCCGGAUUAAUACCGCAUACGCCCGAGAGGGGAAAGUGGGGGACCGCAAGGCCUCACGCGAUUGGGUUGGCCGAUGUCCGAUUAGCUAGUUGGCGGGGUAAACGGCCCACCAAGGCGAUGAUCGGUAGCUGGUCUGAGAGGAUGAUCAGCCACACUGGGACUGAGACACGGCCCAGACUCCUACGGGAGGCAGCAGUGGGGAAUUUUGGACAAGUGGGGGCAACCCUGAUCCAGCCAUUCCGCGUGAGUGAA
RNAcentral lists this ribosomal RNA (399 nucleotides) under uncultured beta proteobacterium. Its description in RNAcentral is "bacterial SSU rRNA". It matches the Rfam family "Bacterial small subunit ribosomal RNA", at positions 9 to 409 of the family's 1533-position model. The record is from RNAcentral. Lineage: Bacteria; Pseudomonadati; Pseudomonadota; Betaproteobacteria.